Molecule: small nuclear RNA, 107 nt
Organism: Choloepus hoffmanni (Hoffmann's two-fingered sloth)
Lineage: Eukaryota; Metazoa; Chordata; Mammalia; Pilosa; Megalonychidae
Source: Ensembl
GGGCUCAUUUUGGUGGCACAUAUACUAAAAUUGGAGGCACAAAGAGAAGGUUAGCAUGGCCCCUGCGUGGGGAUGACGUGCAAAUCUGUGAAGCAUUUUACAUUUUU